RNAcentral lists this unclassified non-coding RNA (231 nucleotides) under uncultured fungus. RNAcentral's name for it is "sequence contains ITS1, 5.8S rRNA gene". The stretch from base 183 to 231 matches the Rfam family "5.8S ribosomal RNA", at positions 1 to 49 of the family's 154-position model. The record is from RNAcentral. Lineage: Eukaryota; Fungi.
UCUCCGUAGGUGAACCUGCGGAGGGAUCAUUACUGAGUGAGGGCUUCGGUCCGACCUCCAACCCUUUGUGUGAACCAAACUUGUUGCUUCGGGGGCGACCCUACCGUUCGGCGCGGCGCUCCCGGUGGCCAAUUAUUAAACUCUGCAUCUCUUGCGUCGGAGUCUUAAAGAAAUUUAAACAAAACUUUCAACAACGGAUCUCUUGGUUCUGGCAUCGAUGAAGAACGCAGC